UACGUAGGGGGCAAGCGUUGUCCGGAUUUAUUGGGCGUAAAGAGCGUGUAGGCGGCCAGGUAGGUCCGCUGUGAAAACUCGAGGCUCAACCUCGAGACGUCGGCGGAAACCCUCUGGCUAGAGUCCGGAAGAGGAGAGUGGAAUUCCUGGUGUAGCGGUGAAAUGCGCAGAUAUCAGGAAGAACACCCGUGGCGAAGGCGGCUCUCUGGGACGGUACUGACGCUGAGACGCGAAAGCGUGGGGAGCAAACAGG
Molecule: ribosomal RNA, 253 nt
Filed under: uncultured bacterium
Lineage: Bacteria
Description: partial 16S ribosomal RNA
Rfam family: Bacterial small subunit ribosomal RNA
Source: RNAcentral